AUGAUAAUUAUGAUACAAAGGCCAUGAAAUGUUCCUUCCCACAUUGAGGAAGUUUCUGGGGAGCCAGAAAUGAUCCUUCUUGACUGUGACAGUCCUUAGGUGUUUGCUUUGUAACUGUUCAAUAAACUGCGUGCUUUAUGCACUCUUCCCUGUCAGUGACAAAAGUGUUAAGAAAGAAUUCUCUGCUUUUACCUGUGAGUCUUCUACUGGGAACUUAUUCUAAGAAAAUAUGCACAAAGAAGUCCUCUGUACCAUUGUCUAAAAGCAAAACUGGCAGUUAAUGUAGCCCCUAAGAUGAUCCAUGGAACUUACUAAAAUAACUUCCCAAGAACCUACGGAGCAUCAUGUAAUGAUUCAACCUUAAACAGUGUUGCUGGGGAGGACUGUGAUACGGAUUUGAAGCAACCACAGUUCCGUGCUGUAGGGAAGACUGGAAACACACUGAAACCGCCUGACCGCAAACGUCCAUCUGCACUGAGCAUGUCCAUUCCGCCUGACCAGUGAGUCGUGCAAAGACUAUCCAGGACUCCACUAGAGGAUUUAUUAUGGGAAAAACCUUCACUUUCCUAGAGUAGUCACAAACAAGGGACCCUGUGAUCAGACACUGCCAGAGAUGGCUAGUGGGCAUUUCUAUCAAAAAUGCUAACCUGCUCUUUCCAUCAGACACUCUAGCUGGGGACUGCAUAAUUCUCAAGACAGGCUUGGUGGUCUUAAAAAUAUCUUAGCAAGCACCAGCAUAACCAGGUAGGAA
Long non-coding RNA from Lontra canadensis (Northern American river otter), 751 nucleotides. RefSeq lists it as uncharacterized. The transcript has 3 exons. The record is from RefSeq and is a predicted model, not a curated record. Lineage: Eukaryota; Metazoa; Chordata; Mammalia; Carnivora; Mustelidae.